Molecule: long non-coding RNA, 1240 nt
Organism: Pan troglodytes (chimpanzee)
Lineage: Eukaryota; Metazoa; Chordata; Mammalia; Primates; Hominidae
Exons: 4
Source: RefSeq, a predicted model, not a curated record
GUGCAGGCAGCCCACUCAGACUUUUUUCCGUGGUGUGGAAGCCUGUUCUUUCAUUCUUGGCAAUAAAUCUUGUUGUUGCUCGCUGUUUGGGUCCACACUGCCCUUAUGAGCUGUAACACUCACCGUCAAGGUCUGCAGCUUCACCUCUGAAGCCAGCAAGACCACAAACUCACUGGAAAGAACAAACAAUUCUGGAUGUACUGCCUUUAAGAGCUGUAACACUCACUGCAGAGGUCUGCAGCUUCACUCCUGAAAUCAGCAAGACCGCGAACCCACCAGAAGGAAGAAACUCCGGACACAUGUGAAAGUCGUAGUGACCAGAAGUUGGCAUGAGGGGGCUUUUGGGUGCUGGCCGUGUUCGUUUGAGUUCUGCUCACGAGGAGGUUCCAUAUGAAUAUAACUUCUUGCCUAAGUUGGUUUAGUCUUGUAAGAAGACUCUUCAUGUGCCUGGUUCCUUCAAAUUUUAAGGAGAGCUCUUGCAUGGUGGUAGAACCGAGGACAGCCUAGACCUUCUGAUUGUCAACUCCUUGUUCCAUUGUGUCCAAACCUACAUGUCUGAACUCCUCUCAUCAAAGACUUCUCAAAGUUAUUAAUAACUGGGGAACACGUAUUCAGUAAUUACACACAUCAGGCUCCAUGCUUUCUGUGCAGUAUGUAAAUUGAUUCAUUGUCAUACUAAUUAUAAAUGGCUAGUAUUAUUGCUGCUUUACAAAUGAGGCAUAUGACACACAGGGAGCUAAAUAAUUUGCCUAAGGUCACACCACUUGUAAAUGAUGAAGCCAGGACUCAAGGCCAGGUCUGGCCACCCCUGAAUUUAAUAGCUGUAUCCUCUAUAUCUCUGUUUUCUCCCAGACCAAGGUGUCUGUACCUCUCUGCCAACAGAGAAAAGGGUUCAUUCAUUCAUCAAAUGUUUGUUGAGCAUCUAUUGUGACUCAGGCAAUAUCCUAGAUCAAGGAUUGUCAAACUUUUUCUAUAAAGGACAAGAGAGCAAACAUUUUAGGUCUCCUGGGUCAUAUGGUCAGUCACUGUGAUUCAACUCUGCUGUUGUAGUACAAGAUUGUGAAAGCAGCCAUAGAUGAUAUGUCAAUGAAUGAGCAUGGUUGUGUUCCAAUAAAAUGUCACUUGCGAAAGCAGGCUGUGGGCUGGGUUUGGGCCAAGAGUUCUACCCCUGCUCUAGGCAUUGGAGUUAUAAUAGCAAAAAAUAAAAAAAAAUAAAAAUAAAAACACAAAAAUGCCUGCA